GAUGAACGCUGGCGGCGUGCUUAACACAUGCAAGUCGAACGAAACACCUUAUUUGAUUUUCUUCGGAACUGAAGAUUUGGUGAUUGAGUGGCGGACGGGUGAGUAACGCGUGGGUAACCUACCCUGUACAGGGGGAUAACAGUCAGAAAUGACUGCUAAUACCGCAUAAGACCACAGCACCGCAUGGUGCAGGGGUAAAAACUCCGGUGGUACAGGAUGGACCCGCGUCUGAUUAGCUGGUUGGUGAGGUAACGGCUCACCAAGGCGACGAUCAGUAGCCGGCUUGAGAGAGUGAACGGCCACAUUGGGACUGAGACACGGCCCAAACUCCUACGGGAGGCAGCAGUGGGGAAUAUUGCACAAUGGGGGAAACCCUGAUGCAGCGACGCCGCGUGAGUGAAGAAGUAUUUCGGUAUGUAAAGCUCUAUCAGCAGGGAAGAAAAUGACGGUACCUGACUAAGAAGCCCCGGCUA
Molecule: ribosomal RNA, 473 nt
Filed under: uncultured bacterium
Lineage: Bacteria
Description: bacterial SSU rRNA
Rfam family: Bacterial small subunit ribosomal RNA
Source: RNAcentral